CCUCAGUGCCAAAGUCGGUGGGGAUUGAGCCUUUCCCACACCUGAUUUUUGAAUUGUUCACUAAUGGCCAGCAUCUGAGGUUGGUUUCAACGGCUUCCACAGGUUAGAAGUCCACUGUGCGCAGGCUAUGCUAGACAGCUAACUCAGAUACUGAAUUCACUGGUGUCUUGCCCGCGAGUUAGUGAUGAGUCCGAAAAGGGUCCAGUUUGCCUGAAUACUUGUAGUCUCGUUCCAGCACAUUUGAUAGGGGGCCUGCCAGCCUGGGUCCUGAGGGAAAAGGAGUGUCCUUAUUUCUUAAUCUCCGACUUGGUUACCGCCUUAUCGUCACUGACUCCAGCUUUGGCCAG
RNAcentral lists this small RNA (347 nucleotides) under Histoplasma capsulatum var. duboisii H88. Its description in RNAcentral is "Histoplasma capsulatum H88 hypothetical RNA". The record is from RNAcentral. Lineage: Eukaryota; Fungi; Ascomycota; Eurotiomycetes; Onygenales; Ajellomycetaceae.